RNAcentral lists this ribosomal RNA (253 nucleotides) under uncultured bacterium. RNAcentral describes it as "partial 16S ribosomal RNA". It matches the Rfam family "Bacterial small subunit ribosomal RNA", at positions 524 to 776 of the family's 1533-position model. The record is from RNAcentral.
UACGUAGGGUGCGAGCGUUAAUCGGAAUUCCUGGGCGUAAAGCGUGCGCAGGCGGUUUUGUAAGCCAGAUGUGAAAUCCCCGGGCUUAACCUGGGAAUGGCAUUUGGGACUGCAAGGCUGGAGUGUGGCAGAGGAGACUGGAAUUCCCGGUGUAGCAGUGAAAUGCGUAGAUAUCGGGAGGAAUACCGAUGGCGAAGGCAGGUCUCUGGGCUGACACUGACGCUCAUGCACGAAAGCGUGGGGAGCAAACAGG